AUGACAUCAUGUGCAGCAAGCAUCCGGGGAAGGGGAAACAAUGGUACAUGGCCAUGCAGCUGGCACGGAAUCGAGUGCAGCAAGCAUCCGGUGAAGGUGAUCACCGAGAUCUCUCUGCCGGGGCUGCGGCUGAGGGGGGACCUCGGCACCCUCAACUUCACGGCGCUGCGUACUCUUACGAGUAUCCACCUCUUCAACAAUCAGAUAAGGGGCUCCCUCCCACCCGCUUUAGCAUCACCCUUGCCUAACCUGCGGCACCUAAUGCUCCAGGAGAAUGAACUUUCCGGUGAAAUACCAUGGCAAAUAAAACACCUAGAGAGUCUAGUGGGGCUUGACUUGUCAGCCAAUCACUUAUCUGGUCCCAUCCCCACUGAACUAGGCUACCUACAGAAACUAAUUAGUGUAGAUUUAACGAGCAACAACCUCACAGGCCAUAUUCCAAGAAGUUUAGGGAAGCUCACUAAACUCACUCUCUUGUACCUUGGUGAUAACAAACUCUCUGGAUAUAUUCCUCAAGAACUAGGUCAUCUCUUGAAUUUGCAAGAGUUGUCUCUUAGGCAAAACAACCUCACCAGUUCCAUCCCUGAUACUUUUGGGGGUUUGAUUAACCUCACCGCCUUGUACCUAUGGGGUAACCAACUUUCCGGGCAUAUUCCUCCAGAAUUAGGGCACCUCGUAAGUCUGAAAAUAUUAGAUCUUAACUUCAACAAACUCAAGGGUUCCAUCCCCGAUACCUUCGGGUGUCUCAUUAACCUCACUGUUCUGUAUCUAUGGGAUAAUCAACUUUCCGGUCAAGUCCCUCGAGAACUAGGUUACCUACUGAAUCUUGAAGAUUUGGAUCUUAACAAGAACCAACUCAUGGGAUCCAUCCCCCCUACAUUUGGGAAUUUGACUAAGCUCACGACAUUGUACCUUUACCGUAAUCAAUUCUCAGGGUAUCUUCCUCGAGAACUAGGUUACUUGGUGAAUCUACAAAUGUUGGAUCUUAGCACGAACAAACUCAUGGGUUCCAUUCACGAUUCCUUUGGUGGUUUGAUUAGCCUCAUUGGCAUGUAUCUAUGGGAUAACCAACUUUCCUGGAAAGUUCCUCCAGAACUAGGUUACCUGGUGAAUCUGGAAGAUUUGGAACUUAACAAGAACCAACUUUCUGGGUGUAUUCCUCGAGAACUAGGUAAACUUGCCAAUUUAAAAGCAUUGAAUCUUGGCAAAAACAACCUCGUAGGUUCCAUCCCCAACUUCUUUGGAAAUUCGAGUAAGCUCACUACCAUGUUCCUUGCUGAUAAUCAGUUCUCUGGAUACCUUCCACAAGAAAUAGGUUUCCUGGUGAAUUUACAACGGUUGGAUGUUAGCACAGACAAAUUGAUAGGUUCUAUCCCCGAUAUCUUUGGAAAUUUGACAAAGCUCACCACCCUGCAACUCAGUUACAAUCAAUUAUUUGGACAAGCUCCUCGAGAAAUUGGCACCUUAAUGGAUCUUGAGCUACUGCAGUUGGAUGGUAACAAUAUAUCUGGUCACUUGCCACCUGAGUUGUGCGCUGGAGGCUGGCUGAAGAAUUUAACUGCAUCUGAUAACAACCUGAAUGGACAACUACCAUCAAGUUUGAUACACUGCAGAAGCCUAGUCAGAGUUUGUCUGGAAAGGAAUCAAAUAGAGGGAUAUAUCUCUGCUUUAGGAGUUCACCCAAAUCUUGUGUAUAUGGAUAUGAUCUCAAAUAAACUGUUUGGCCAAUUAUCGUAUACCUGGGGGCAAUGUCGUAAUCUUUUGAUGCUACGCAUCUCAAACAACAACCUUACAGGGAGGAUACCCGCAAGUAUGGGGAGACUAUCUCAGAUAGGGCUUCUUGACCUUUCAUCAGACAAGCUUGAAGGAAAUAUUCAUUGUUGGUAA
Molecule: ribosomal RNA, 1887 nt
Filed under: Triticum aestivum (bread wheat)
Lineage: Eukaryota; Viridiplantae; Streptophyta; Magnoliopsida; Poales; Poaceae
Description: partial small subunit ribosomal RNA
Source: RNAcentral